Molecule: unclassified non-coding RNA, 317 nt
Filed under: uncultured fungus
Lineage: Eukaryota; Fungi
Description: partial contains 5.8S ribosomal RNA and internal transcribed spacer 2
Rfam family: 5.8S ribosomal RNA (bases 1-133)
Source: RNAcentral
UGGUUCUGGCAUCGAUGAAGAACGCAGCGAAAUGCGAUAAGUAAUGUGAAUUGCAGAAUUCAGUGAAUCAUCGAAUCUUUGAACGCACAUUGCGCCCUUUGGUAUUCCGGAGGGCAUGCCUGUUCGAGCGUCAUUUCAACCCUCAAGCCUAGCUUGGUCUUGGGCUUCGCCGCAUGCGGCGGGCCUCAAAGUCAGUGGCGGUGCCAUCGUGCUCUACGCGUAGUAAACAUCAUCCUCGUGUGUGAGCCGCGGUGGUCGCUUGCCAGCAACCCCAAACUUUUAUGGUUGACCUCGGAUCAGGUAGGGAUACCCGCUGA